RNAcentral lists this transfer RNA (71 nucleotides) under Gymnochlora stellata. Its description in RNAcentral is "tRNA-Gly". It matches the Rfam family "tRNA". From Rfam's summary of the family: Transfer RNA (tRNA) molecules are approximately 80 nucleotides in length. Their secondary structure includes four short double-helical elements and three loops (D, anti-codon, and T loops). Lineage: Eukaryota; Cercozoa; Chlorarachniophyceae. The record is from RNAcentral.
GCGGAUAUAGUUUAGGGGUAAAACAUUACCUUGCCAAGGUAGGAUCAUGGGUUCAAAUCCCAUUAUCCGCU